RNAcentral lists this ribosomal RNA (343 nucleotides) under Isonychia ignota. Its description in RNAcentral is "partial 16S rRNA". The record is from RNAcentral. Lineage: Eukaryota; Metazoa; Arthropoda; Insecta; Ephemeroptera; Isonychiidae.
GGUAACUUAGUCUUGUAAUCGUUAACGGAUCAAUUUUUCAUAAAUCUAUGUUUCUAAUAAAGAAGAGUUAUUAUUAUCUUCCUGUCACCCCAACAAAAUAACUUCUAAGUUCAGCAAAACUCACCUCCAAAUCUACUGAACUUAUAUAUUAUAAAGAUCUAUAGGGUCUUCUCGUCCUCCAAUUUCAUCUCAGCCUUUUCACUAAGAAGUUAAAUUCAAUUAUGUUUCAAGUGAGACAGCUUGUACCUCGUCCAACCAUUCAUACCAGCCUUUAAUUAGAAGACUAAUGAUUAUGCUACCUUUGCACGGUCAAAAUACCGCGGCCCUUCAACUAUCAGUGGGC